This 431-nucleotide ribosomal RNA is filed under the name uncultured bacterium. Its description in RNAcentral is "partial 16S ribosomal RNA". It matches the Rfam family "Bacterial small subunit ribosomal RNA", at positions 29 to 507 of the family's 1533-position model. The record is from RNAcentral.
AGCGAACGCUGGCGGCAGGCUUAACACAUGCAAGUCGAGCGCCCCGCCAGGGGAGCGGCAGACGGGAGAGUAACACGUGGGAACAUACCUUUUGGUUCGGAACAACUGAGGGAAACUUCAGCUAAUACCGGAUAAGCCCUUACGGGGAAAGAUUUAUCGCCGAAAGAUUGGCCCGCGUCUGAUUAGCUAGUUGGUGAGGUAACGGCUCACCAAGGCGACGAUCAGUAGCUGGUCUGAGAGGAUGAUCAGCCUCACUGGGACUGAGACACGGCCCAGACUCCUACGGGAGGCAGCAGUGGGGAAUAUUGGACAAUGGGGGCAACCCUGAUCCAGCCAUGCCGCGUGAGUGAUGAAGGCCUUAGGGUUGUAAAGCUCUUUUGCCCGGGAAGAUAAUGACGGCACCGGGAGAAUAAGCCCCGGCUAACUUCGUG